This 402-nucleotide ribosomal RNA is filed under the name uncultured bacterium. RNAcentral describes it as "bacterial SSU rRNA". It matches the Rfam family "Bacterial small subunit ribosomal RNA", at positions 355 to 774 of the family's 1533-position model. The record is from RNAcentral.
UGGGGAAUAUUGGACAAUGGGCGAAAGCCUGAUCCAGCCAUGCCGCGUGAGUGAUGAAGGCCUUAGGGUUGUAAAGCUCUUUUAGCAGGGAAGAUAAUGACGGUACCUGCAGAAAAAGCCCCGGCUAACUUCGUGCCAGCAGCCGCGGUAAUACGAAGGGGGCUAGCGUUGCUCGGAAUUACUGGGCGUAAAGCGCACGUAGGCGUACUCUUAAGUCGGUGGUGAAAUCCUGGAGCUCAACUCCAGAACUGCCUUCGAUACUGGGAGUCUUGAGUUCGGGAGAGGUGAGUGGAACUGCGAGUGUAGAGGUGAAAUUCGUAGAUAUUCGCAAGAACACCAGUGGCGAAGGCGGCUCACUGGCCCGAUACUGACGCUGAGGUGCGAAAGCGUGGGGAGCAAACA